Molecule: ribosomal RNA, 450 nt
Filed under: uncultured bacterium
Lineage: Bacteria
Description: partial 16S ribosomal RNA
Rfam family: Bacterial small subunit ribosomal RNA
Source: RNAcentral
GUGGGGAAUUUUGGACAAUGGGCGCAAGCCUGAUCCAGCAAUGCCGCGUGCAGGAAGAAGGCCUUCGGGUUGUAAACUGCUUUUGUACGGAACGAAACGGUCCGGGUUAAUACCCUGGGCUAAUGACGGUACCGUAAGAAUAAGCACCGGCUAACUACGUGCCAGCAGCCACGGUAAUACGUAGGGUGCAAGCGUUAAUCGGAAUUACUGGGCGUAAAGCGUGCGCAGGCGGUUUUGUAAGACAGGCGUGAAAUCCCCGGGCUCAACCUGGGAAUUGCGCUUGUGACUGCAGUGCUGGAGUACGGCAGAGGGGGAUGGAAUUCCGCGUGUAGCAGUGAAAUGCGUAGAUAUGCGGAGGAACACCGAUGGCGAAGGCAGUCCCCUGGGCCUGUACUGACGCUCAUGCACGAAAGCGUGGGGAGCAAACAGGAUUAGAUACCCGAGUAGUCC